UGGGGAAUUUUCUGCAAUGGGCGAAAGCCUGACAGAGCAAUACCGCGUGAGGGAUGAAGGCUCGUGGGUCGUAAACCUCUUUUUUCAAGGAGGAAGUUCUGACGUGUACUUGAAGAAUAAGCAUCGGCUAACUCCGUGCCAGCAGCCGCGGUAAGACGGAGGAUGCAAGUGUUAUCCGGAAUCACUGGGCGUAAAGCGUCUGUAGGUGGUUUAGUAAGUCUAUUGUUAAAUCUUGAGGCUCAACUUCAAAUCAGCGAUGGAAACUGCUAGACUAGAGUGUGGUAGAGGUAAGAGGAAUUUCCAGUGGAGCGGUGAAAUGCGUAGAUAUUGGAAAGAACACCGAUGGCGAA
RNAcentral lists this ribosomal RNA (350 nucleotides) under uncultured bacterium. RNAcentral describes it as "bacterial SSU rRNA". It matches the Rfam family "Bacterial small subunit ribosomal RNA", at positions 355 to 719 of the family's 1533-position model. The record is from RNAcentral.